Long non-coding RNA from Sarcophilus harrisii (Tasmanian devil), 2268 nucleotides. RefSeq lists it as uncharacterized. The record is from RefSeq and is a predicted model, not a curated record. The transcript is spliced from 3 exons. Lineage: Eukaryota; Metazoa; Chordata; Mammalia; Dasyuromorphia; Dasyuridae.
UCUCUUUCUCUCACCUUACCUCCUUAUUAAUUUCUCUAGGUAUCAUUCUCGCUAAUAUCUAGUACCCCCUCCCUUUUUGAGGAAGGUCAGUAAAUAUUGACUGAGCACCUGCUGUGUUUCAGAGCACUUUAUUCCCUUCUCCUGACUUCCCAAAGAAAUAAAAGAAACGGUCCCUGCAGUAGAGAGAGAAAACACUUUCGGAAAACAAGAGAAGCCCAUCAUCUUGAGGAGGAAAGAUCUUUUCAUUUACUUCUCCAUUCUAAGAGGCGCUUUUCGUCACUACGAGUUUCCUGGUAGAAUUGUAGCAAAGUUCCGUUUCAGAAAAUGUCUUUCUGCGGAGUACGAGUUGACUAAUGCUACUUCCUGAAAAUAAAAAAGUGGCUAAGUGGGUGAAGCGAACUCUUGGAGGGGCACGCUGCUGAAGGACCCAGACUCCUCAAAUAGCAUGGUCUCAUUGCUACCACCAAAGAAGCCAUGCAUCCAUUAGAGGAGUUAGUGGUCUGCAGUGAAGUCCUCGUGGGACCUCGUGGCUUGUUCAACCGAUUCCAUUUUUUCCCUGGACCCCGAGAUCUUCUCAGAUGAUAAAACCGUCUAUUCACGCCACAGAACCGGAACCUCAUUUCAACUCUCAUGAAUUCACUAUUUCAUGUCUGCCUACUAAGACAACCAACGUCCCCACCCAAGCCAAUCCCUCUUUUGGAGCGCCCCUAACCUGGCCCACAGAGAGGGAUCGACACUAAUUCCCAAAUGUGUAGAUUCUAAGGCUUUUGUAAAAGGAAGUGGUGCCUUGAGACUUCUACCCUGGUCCCUCUUGGUUUCUUUCAGAUCCUCGGGCUGGUGCUGGAGGUAGCCCUUCCAGGUUUCCUCUUGAAACCAGGUGUUUCCCAAGGAUCUAAAGUGUGUUAUUUGGAAUGGCCUCAGUGAAGUGAGAGAAAAGAUGACAUCUGAUGUGACCUUGUGGAAGUUUAUGGUCUAAUGAGUGCCCUUGGGCGGAGGAGGCUAGACUGAGACACAAAGACUCCUAUCUUUCUCAGUUCAAUAUUCUUCAUGUCCGAAGAGACAGCUGCGCUACCUUCGAGGCCAUAACUUGCAUAAAUAAUCAUCACUUUUGGAAAAAUAACUUGGUGAAGAAAGUGCUAGUGACAGAAUGCGGAACAAGUCCAAGUGUAUUUAAAUUCCAUUGGUAACAGUAUUUACUGAACGCCUACUAUGUUCGCGUUUCAAUAUGUUCGUUUCUCCCUUUUUUCCCCUCCUCCUGAAGACAUUAAACCUGAUUUAAGUUCAGCUCCUUAAUAUUGUUGAAAAUUUAAAUGGUAAUAGCAACUAUAAGUCAAAGGAGGUACUGAGUUCUUCCCCCAUUAUGAAGUUGGUUGUGGUGUUCUUUUUCAGGGCUUGGCAUCAAGAAGAAACUAUGGAACAAGAGAUGAGGAUGCCUCCUCACAUAAGCUGAGGCCCACCUGAUUCAACGCAGUCUCCUUUUGGGUCAUAGUGGUGGGAGAAGGUCCGGUUUGGGGGGUUUGGGGUUUUUUGGCUUUGCUUUGUUUUGUUUUUGUGUAGGGUGAAGGUCACAGAUUUGGAACCCUGCUUUGUAUUGCAGAAGAGAGGUGACCUGGAGGGUAAGAUGUCUACUGCUUCUGCUAUAAUCCUUCUUAAUGGAAAAGAGCCAGAUGUACAAAGAAAUAUCAUCAGGUCACUGUUCUUAAUCUUGUUAGGUUAGAAAAUGGGAACCUCAGGAAAAGAUGCUAUUAACUAAAUGUCAACCCGCAGCAUGUAAAAUUCCUUGGACCCAAACUUCAAAAACAAGGGAGUGAAAGAUGCCAUGUGAGAAAGAGGAAUCGUGUGAUUUCUUAGUCUAGCGCCGAUCCAAGUAGGGUUUUAUUGCUUCCAUACCAGUGCUUCACGAUAUUUUAAUUUGACAAUUAAAAUAUGCACCAGAUUGCUCCAGAACAAAUCUUCUAAAUUAAGAAAAAUGAAAAGGAGGGGGAGCAGGAAGAGGGAUGAAAAAGGAGGAAUAGUUUCAUUUGUACUAGGGGAAAACUGAAGUCUGCAAAGUUUUAGAAAUCUUGGAAAACUUGAAAUGAAAAGCCAAGAUCUUGUUUUCGUCGUGAUUUAGCAGCCAAACUUCUUGUUUCAUAACAAUAUAAAUGGGAGGUCACAUAAUAGGUUAAAAACUAGAAGGUCAAAUUCUACAAAAAGGGGAGCUUUAUUCAAGUAUAGAUUGAAAAAGCAAAAAGCAGAAAAUUGGCUAGAGGAUGCAUUUCCAUCCCC